UACGGGAGGAGCGAGCAUUAUUCGGGAUGAUUAGGCGUAAAGGGUUUGUAGGUGGUUUUUUAAGUUGAAAAAAAAAAAAUAAAGCUCAACUUUUAUAAAUUUUUUCAAAACUGAAAAACUUGAGUAUAAAUAGAGGAUAAUGGAAUUCCUAUUGUAGUGGUAAAAUACCUUAAUAAUAGGAGGAAGGCCAAGAGCGAAGGCAAUUAUCUGGGUAUAUACUGACACUGAAAAACGAAAGCUUGGGGAGCGAACGGG
RNAcentral lists this ribosomal RNA (255 nucleotides) under uncultured bacterium. RNAcentral's name for it is "partial 16S ribosomal RNA". It matches the Rfam family "Bacterial small subunit ribosomal RNA", at positions 524 to 776 of the family's 1533-position model. The record is from RNAcentral.